This 1503-nucleotide ribosomal RNA is filed under the name Escherichia coli. RNAcentral's name for it is "bacterial LSU rRNA". It matches the Rfam family "Bacterial large subunit ribosomal RNA", at positions 139 to 1685 of the family's 2925-position model. Lineage: Bacteria; Pseudomonadati; Pseudomonadota; Gammaproteobacteria; Enterobacterales; Enterobacteriaceae. The record is from RNAcentral.
UUCGACACACUAUCAUUAACUGAAUCCAUAGGUUAAUGAGGCGAACCGGGGGAACUGAAACAUCUAAGUACCCCGAGGAAAAGAAAUCAACCGAGAUUCCCCCAGUAGCGGCGAGCGAACGGGGAGCAGCCCAGAGCCUGAAUCAGUGUGUGUGUUAGUGGAAGCGUCUGGAAAGGCGCGCGAUACAGGGUGACAGCCCCGUACACAAAAAUGCACAUACUGUGAGCUCGAUGAGUAGGGCGGGACACGUGGUAUCCUGUCUGAAUAUGGGGGGACCAUCCUCCAAGGCUAAAUACUCCUGACUGACCGAUAGUGAACCAGUACCGUGAGGGAAAGGCGAAAAGAACCCCGGCGAGGGGAGUGAAAAAGAACCUGAAACCGUGUACGUACAAGCAGUGGGAGCCUCUUAAUGGGGUGACUGCGUACCUUUUGUAUAAUGGGUCAGCGACUUAUAUUCUGUAGCAAGGUUAACCGAAUAGGGGAGCCGAAGGGAAACCGAGUCUUAACUGGGCGUUAAGUUGCAGGGUAUAGACCCGAAACCCGGUGAUCUAGCCAUGGGCAGGUUGAAGGUUGGGUAACACUAACUGGAGGACCGAACCGACUAAUGUUGAAAAAUUAGCGGAUGACUUGUGGCUGGGGGUGAAAGGCCAAUCAAACCGGGAGAUAGCUGGUUCUCCCCGAAAGCUAUUUAGGUAGCGCCUCGUGAAUUCAUCUCCGGGGGUAGAGCACUGUUUCGGCAAGGGGGUCAUCCCGACUUACCAACCCGAUGCAAACUGCGAAUACCGGAGAAUGUUAUCACGGGAGACACACGGCGGGUGCUAACGUCCGUCGUGAAGAGGGAAACAACCCAGACCGCCAGCUAAGGUCCCAAAGUCAUGGUUAAGUGGGAAACGAUGUGGGAAGGCCCAGACAGCCAGGAUGUUGGCUUAGAAGCAGCCAUCAUUUAAAGAAAGCGUAAUAGCUCACUGGUCGAGUCGGCCUGCGCGGAAGAUGUAACGGGGCUAAACCAUGCACCGAAGCUGCGGCAGCGACACUAUGUGUUGUUGGGUAGGGGAGCGUUCUGUAAGCCUGCGAAGGUGUACUGUGAGGUAUGCUGGAGGUAUCAGAAGUGCGAAUGCUGACAUAAGUAACGAUAAAGCGGGUGAAAAGCCCGCUCGCCGGAAGACCAAGGGUUCCUGUCCAACGUUAAUCGGGGCAGGGUGAGUCGACCCCUAAGGCGAGGCCGAAAGGCGUAGUCGAUGGGAAACAGGUUAAUAUUCCUGUACUUGGUGUUACUGCGAAGGGGGGACGGAGAAGGCUAUGUUGGCCGGGCGACGGUUGUCCCGGUUUAAGCGUGUAGGCUGGUUUUCCAGGCAAAUCCGGAAAAUCAAGGCUGAGGCGUGAUGACGAGGCACUACGGUGCUGAAGCAACAAAUGCCCUGCUUCCAGGAAAAGCCUCUAAGCAUCAGGUAACAUCAAAUCGUACCCCAAACCGACACAGGUGGUCAGGUAGAGAAUACCAAG